CCUACGGGGGGCAGCAGUGGGGAAUAUUGCACAAUGGGCGCAAGCCUGAUGCAGCCAUGCCGCGUGUGUGAAGAAGGCCUUCGGGUUGUAAAGCACUUUCAGCGGGGAGGAAGGCGUUAAGGUUAAUAACCUUGGCGAUUGACGUUACCCGCAGAAGAAGCACCGGCUAACUCCGUGCCAGCAGCCGCGGUAAUACGGAGGGUGCAAGCGUUAAUCGGAAUUACUGGGCGUAAAGCGCACGCAGGCGGUCUGUCAAGUCGGAUGUGAAAUCCCCGGGCUCAACUUGGGAACUGCAUUCGAAACUGGCAGGCUAGAGUCUUGUAGAGGGGGGUAGAAUUCCAGGUGUAGCGGUGAAAUGCGUAGAGAUCUGGAGGAAUACCGGUGGCGAAGGCGGCCCCCUGGACAAAGACUGACGCUCAGGUGCGAAAGCGUGGGGAGCAAACAGGAUUAGAUACCCUUGUAGUC
This 465-nucleotide ribosomal RNA is filed under the name uncultured Klebsiella sp. RNAcentral's name for it is "bacterial SSU rRNA". It matches the Rfam family "Bacterial small subunit ribosomal RNA", at positions 338 to 795 of the family's 1533-position model. The record is from RNAcentral. Lineage: Bacteria; Pseudomonadati; Pseudomonadota; Gammaproteobacteria; Enterobacterales; Enterobacteriaceae.